Molecule: ribosomal RNA, 253 nt
Filed under: uncultured bacterium
Lineage: Bacteria
Description: partial 16S ribosomal RNA
Rfam family: Bacterial small subunit ribosomal RNA
Source: RNAcentral
UACGAAGGGGACUAGCGUUGUUCGGAUUUACUGGGCGUAAAGCGAGCGUAGGCGGAUCGCUAAGUCAGGGGUGAAAUGCCAAGGCUCAACCUUGGAACUGCCUUUGAUACUGACGAUCUGGAGAUUGGGAGAGGUGAGUGGAAUUCCGAGUGUAGAGGUGAAAUUCGUAGAUAUUCGGAGGAACACCAGAAGCGAAGGCGGCUCACUGGCCCAAUACUGACGCUGAGGCGCGAAAGCGUGGGGAGCAAACAGG